CGUCGUGUGUGGACACAUCUUCCUGCUCCUUCCUCAAGCUCCGGACUAUUAGCGCCCUGUGUUUUGUUCCUGCUCUUUCGUAUCCGAAGGUUUAGCAGGGCAAUAUACCGUCCCAAAUCACUUGCUAGGUCUCCAGCUUCCGGGUCAUAAUUUGCAGCCAGUAAUUCUAAUCUUUUCUGCGGUUGCCAUUAAAAUCCGGCAGGAGAGGACUGAAUGAGAGCAAAGGACAGGUAUUGGCCAAGGUGUCUCCUGAGGAGAAUCAUGGACGGAACGCCCUCACUUCGCGGCAGAUCGGAGACGGCAGAGAUGGAAGGAUUUUGGAGCCUCUUUCAAAGCGGGCGGGGGAGAAGUCUGGCCCUGAUAAGGCCGUCGUCGUUGUCUCGGAAACAAAGCUCGGAGAGAACCUGUUAAGCCAGCGCUGGAGCUCAUAUUAGAAUGCAAAUGAGCAUCUACGAACAGGGCAUAGUAUAUUAACACAAUAAUAGGGUGCAGGGGGCUGCAGAGGAGAUUAAUAUUAUAGGAAGAGUUCGAUUGUUUUAAAGACAGCAACAGUUAGAGACAUUAGUGCUGCAUGCAUGCUGGGAAAAUAGGUUUUAACCUCUGACCCGGUCUGUCUUGAGAAAAAUGAGGUUCCAUAGGAAAAGGCUGAAUUAUGUUUCAUAAUGUGGAAAUAUGGCAUCAUCUAUAGGUUGUUUGGACAACAUUCACUGUUGCAUUGCCACUGAUGUAGGUGAUUCGGAUCUACAGGAACUAUAUGAACGAUGAACCACAAAGUGUUAAGUUGAUUCCAUGUUUGUGAUGAAUCUUAAGUGGUGUGUGAUUUGGAUCUAUUCAAAUCCACCAUAAUAAAAAAAGACCACUUAAAGGACAA
Clupea harengus (Atlantic herring) is the source of this 871-nucleotide long non-coding RNA. Lineage: Eukaryota; Metazoa; Chordata; Actinopteri; Clupeiformes; Clupeidae. The record is from Ensembl.